This 71-nucleotide transfer RNA is filed under the name Phycisphaerae bacterium. RNAcentral describes it as "tRNA-Met". It matches the Rfam family "tRNA". From Rfam's summary of the family: Transfer RNA (tRNA) molecules are approximately 80 nucleotides in length. Their secondary structure includes four short double-helical elements and three loops (D, anti-codon, and T loops). Further hydrogen bonds mediate the characteristic L-shaped molecular structure. tRNAs have two regions of fundamental functional importance: the anti-codon, which is responsible for specific mRNA codon recognition, and the 3' end, to which the tRNAs corresponding amino acid is attached (by aminoacyl-tRNA synthetases). tRNAs cope with the degeneracy of the genetic code in two manners: having more than one tRNA (with a specific anti-codon) for a particular amino acid; and 'wobble' base-pairing, i.e. permitting non-standard base-pairing at the 3rd anti-codon position. The record is from RNAcentral. Lineage: Bacteria; Pseudomonadati; Planctomycetota; Phycisphaerae.
UGCGGGAUGGACCAGUGGCUGGUCGGCAGCCUCAUAAGCUGCACAGGUGGGUUCAAUUCCCACUCCCGCUA